This 418-nucleotide ribosomal RNA is filed under the name Namea excavans. RNAcentral's name for it is "partial 16S ribosomal RNA". Lineage: Eukaryota; Metazoa; Arthropoda; Arachnida; Araneae; Anamidae. The record is from RNAcentral.
UUUAGUAACUCCUGCUCAAUGAAAUUUUAAUAGCCGCAGUCUUCUGUGCUAAGGUAGCAUAAUCACUUGCCUAACAAUUAUAGGAUGGAAUGAAAGGAAGCACAUGCGAAUUUCUUUAUUAAAAAGAUUACUUUAAUUUCAUUAACAAAUAAAAACUUUUUGUUCUAUAAAGUGGGACGAUAAGACCCUAUCAAACUUUACAUUCAUGUUUAGCUGGGGCGGCAAAAAAAUUAUAUCUUUUUCCUAGAUCUCUUAUCUUAACCUAAAUUUUAGAUUUUACCAAUGUUACUGUAGGGAUAACAGCAUAAUCUUUUCUAAAAGAUCUUAUAAAAGAAAAAGUUUUUGACCUCGAUGUUGAAUUAAAACUCUCCUAGAAGCAGUUUUCUAGAAAGUAAGUCUGUUCGACUUUUAAAAUUUU